RNAcentral lists this transfer RNA (74 nucleotides) under Ipomoea nil (Japanese morning glory). It matches the Rfam family "tRNA". Rfam says of the family: Transfer RNA (tRNA) molecules are approximately 80 nucleotides in length. Lineage: Eukaryota; Viridiplantae; Streptophyta; Magnoliopsida; Solanales; Convolvulaceae. The record is from Rfam by way of RNAcentral.
GCUAGAAUAGCUUAGUUGAUUAAAAGCGUGUGAUUGUUAAUUACAAGGUUAGAUGUUCAAGCCCUCUUUUAGCG